UUGAGAAAGGAAGGGGAAAAAAAAACAUUUUGGGUCAAUUCACGAGCGUCUGGCCUUCUGGCUUCACAAGUCAGGAAAGCCAGGCCGCAGGGAUGGGGAAGGGGUCUGGGGGCUUCCUCUCCGACUUGCGGGCAGCGUCAUCUGGCUCAAGAACGCACGCUGGCCCGUGGGAGGCACAGGCAUACACGUCAACACACACACACACACACGUGAUCAGCAAGGAUGAUUUCAGAACAUUGACUUCGAACCCCUUCCUACCUGCCUAGCGGUUACGCUCAACUCAGCAGACUGGCCCACCGUUCCGGUCCUGUUGGAGGAAGUCACCGAGAGGACGUGACCGCUAACUGAGCCUCAAGCUGGACCCAGGCAACUGGAGGCGGCUCCCACCCUCCCCUGUCCUUGGAAGAUAUGUUCUGCCCACUGUUCCCACAGCCAGAGCUGUUCCAAGGAUGCAGCCAUGAGAGAGCAAUGUGGUGUUGAGACCGUUUGACGGUCAAUGUAACUGAACCCCGGUGUCGGGUUUGGAUGAUAAAUCAUACGGGCUCCCCAUCCAUCUCUCAUCUAUCACUAGCUGCUGAGAAUGCUUCUUCUCAAAAUAGAGCCACCUUCCUUGUCCAAGCGUCGUCACUUGCUGCCUGUCUAAAUUGUAGCAGCCCUGUGCUUCCUUCUCAUCCGAUCCACACCGUAUACGUCUCCUCUAAAACACAGCUCUCAACAUGGGACACCCACCCAAAUGCUUCCAACGAUGUCCAGUUACCUAGAACCGCUAAAUCAAAACAAUCACAAGCCAACUUCUAAAGUCCUGGGUCAUCUCUGAAAGUCGUAUUUCUUUUUAGGCAGAUUAGCUGCUCGCUAAUCUGGACACUUGACUAUCAUCAGAUUAACUCUUCACCGAGUCCACACUCCAAGCAAGCCCUCACAUUCAUGGCUCUGCUGACACGGUUAAACUUUUCCCCAUCUUCUCCAGCCCUAGUUUCUCUCUCUGCAAUUCAGCCCGCUCCUUGUCCGGAAAUCCUUCGUCAAGUGCAAGGAGCGUGGGUUUCACAUUCACAAAGAUCUGAAUUUGAUUGUAGAUCCUAGUGUCCAGGCACUAACCAUUAUGUUUUAUUGAUCCUAAAACAUACCUCCCCCUCCCGACAUUUUAACAUACCUGGGAAUGAAAUAUGCCUUAAAAUCUACCGCACCUUAGCGUCAGUAAAAUAUAGUAGCUCUCUGGCUUUGUGUUCUAACACAGACUCUCCGAGUGUUGGUUUCCUCAUCUUUUAAAACAAGAAUAAUACCUGAGUCUCAAGACUGUUGUGGAAAUGACUUGAGAUAACUGUAGUCGAGACCCGGUUUGGGGAUAUCUCCGUGGGAAUCUGGAUACUACGUCCAGCCAUUUUGUAAUCAUCACCCAGUAUCUCACGGGAAGAUGUACCACGUGCAAACAUUGCAGUUGCAACAGAUACCAAAGUUUGCGUACUAACAGACUUUCACAGAAUCCUCUGCAGUGUGCUGAAUCCAAAAGUAGUCUCACCCACAGGGGUGGGUGGCUUAGCCACGACAUUCCACUGAGAACUCUGUUCAGAGGAGAUAAGGGGGACCUUUCUCCAGGGGUAAUUGGUCAAGUAGCUUCUAGUUAGAAAGAUGUCAUUUGCUUCGAGAAAACUACAAAAGCAGCUUUGUGCUUAAUUUAUUCCUAAGUAGAAAAUCUUCAAAAACUGAUUUUAUGUAAAAAAGUCCCCAGGUAGGUGAGGAUUGGGUCCCAGGUGGAUGUUUUGAUAAU
This is a non-coding RNA of Kogia breviceps (pygmy sperm whale), 1765 nucleotides long. NCBI's taxonomy places the organism in Eukaryota, Metazoa, Chordata, Mammalia, Artiodactyla, Physeteridae. The record is from RefSeq and is a predicted model, not a curated record.